AACGAACGCUGGCGGCAUGCCUAACACAUGCAAGUCGAACGAAGGCUUCGGCCUUAGUGGCGCACGGGUGCGUAACGCGUGGGAAUCUGCCCCUCGGUUCGGAAUAACAGUUAGAAAUGACUGCUAAUACCGGAUGAUGACUUCGGUCCAAAGAUUUAUCGCCGAGGGAUGAGCCCGCGUAAGAUUAGGUAGUUGGUGGGGUAAAGGCCUACCAAGCCUACGAUCUUUAGCUGGUCUGAGAGGAUGAUCAGCCACACUGGGACUGAGACACGGCCCAGACUCCGACGGGAGGCAGCAGUGGGGAAUAUUGGACAAUGGGCGAAAGCCUGAUCCAGCAAUGCCGCGUGAGUGAUGAAGGCCUUAGGGUUGUAAAGCUCUUUUACCAGGGAUGAUAAUGACAGUACCUGGAGAAUAAGCUCCGGCUAACUCCGUGCCAGCCGCCGCAGUAA
RNAcentral lists this ribosomal RNA (449 nucleotides) under uncultured bacterium. RNAcentral describes it as "partial 16S ribosomal RNA". It matches the Rfam family "Bacterial small subunit ribosomal RNA", at positions 29 to 523 of the family's 1533-position model. The record is from RNAcentral.